RNAcentral lists this ribosomal RNA (468 nucleotides) under uncultured bacterium. RNAcentral describes it as "partial 16S ribosomal RNA". It matches the Rfam family "Bacterial small subunit ribosomal RNA", at positions 28 to 507 of the family's 1533-position model. The record is from RNAcentral.
GAUGAACGCUGGCGGCGUGCUUAACACAUGCAAGUCGAACGGAAAGGCCCAAGCUUGCUUGGGUACUCGAGUGGCGAACGGGUGAGUAACACGUGGGUGAUCUGCCCUGCACUUCGGGAUAAGCCUGGGAAACUGGGUCUAAUACCGGAUAGGACGAUGGUUUGGAUGCCAUUGUGGAAAGUUUUUUCGGUGUGGGAUGAGCUCGCGGCCUAUCAGCUUGUUGGUGGGGUAAUGGCCUACCAAGGCGUCGACGGGUAGCCGGCCUGAGAGGGUGUACGGCCACAUUGGGACUGAGAUACGGCCCAGACUCCUACGGGAGGCAGCAGUGGGGAAUAUUGCACAAUGGGCGCAAGCCUGAUGCAGCGACGCCGCGUGGGGGAUGACGGCCUUCGGGUUGUAAACUCCUUUCGCGAGGGACGAAGCGUUUUUGUGACGGUACCUGGAGAAGAAGCACCGGCUAACUACGUG